This 445-nucleotide ribosomal RNA is filed under the name uncultured bacterium. RNAcentral describes it as "SSU rRNA". It matches the Rfam family "Bacterial small subunit ribosomal RNA", at positions 26 to 518 of the family's 1533-position model. The record is from RNAcentral.
AGAAUGAACGCUGGCGGCAUGCCUAACACAUGCAAGUCGAACGAGACCUUCGGGUCUAGUGGCGCACGGGUGCGUAACGCGUGGGAAUCUACCCUUGGGUUCGGAAUAACAGUGAGAAAUUACUGCUAAUACCGGAUAAUGUCGCAAGACCAAAGAUUUAUUGCCCAAGGAUGAGCCCGCGUAAGAUUAGCUAGUUGGUGGGGUAAAGGCCUACCAAGGCGACGAUCUUUAGCUGGUCUGAGAGGAUGAUCAGCCACACUGGGACUGAGACACGGCCCAGACUCCUACGGGAGGCAGCAGUGGGGAAUAUUGGACAAUGGGCGAAAGCCUGAUCCAGCAAUGCCGCGUGAGUGAUGAGGCCUUAGGGUUGUAAAGCUCUUUUACCCGGGAAGAUAAUGACUGUACCGGGAGAAUAAGCCCCGGCUAACUCCGCGCCAGCAGCCGC